AGCGAACGCUGGCGGCAUGCCUAACACAUGCAAGUCGAACGAGACCUUCGGGUCUAGUGGCGCACGGGUGCGUAACGCGUGGGAACCUGCCCUUAGGUUCGGAAUAACUCCCCGAAAGGGGUGCUAAUACCGGAUCAUGUCUUCGGACCAAAGAUUUAUCGCCUAUGGAUGGGCCCGCGUUGGAUUAGCUAGUUGGUAGGGUAAAAGCCUACCAAGGCGACGAUCCAUAGCUGGUCUGAGAUGAUGAUCAGCCACACUGGGACUGAGACACGGCCCAGACUCCUACGGGCGGCAGCAGUGGGGAAUAUUGAACCAUGUGCGAAAGCCUGAUCCAGCAAUGCCGCGUGAGUGAUGAAGGCCUUAGGGUUGUAAAGCUCUUUUACCCGGGAUGAUAAUGACAGUACCGGGAGAAUAAGCGCCGGCUAACUCCGUG
This 433-nucleotide ribosomal RNA is filed under the name uncultured bacterium. Its description in RNAcentral is "partial 16S ribosomal RNA". It matches the Rfam family "Bacterial small subunit ribosomal RNA", at positions 29 to 507 of the family's 1533-position model. The record is from RNAcentral.